Molecule: non-coding RNA, 28 nt
Filed under: Homo sapiens (human)
Lineage: Eukaryota; Metazoa; Chordata; Mammalia; Primates; Hominidae
Source: RNAcentral
CCGAAGUGCCGCGCGAGGUAUUCUCGGC